RNAcentral lists this long non-coding RNA (3185 nucleotides) under Mytilus galloprovincialis (Mediterranean mussel). The record is from RNAcentral. Lineage: Eukaryota; Metazoa; Mollusca; Bivalvia; Mytilida; Mytilidae.
UUUGAAAAAUUAAUUCAUUUAUUGAUGAAAGAGUUUGAUCAUGAUUGUAUAUUAAAAUGAACAGAAUUAGGAUAUAAUUAACAGUAACAUAACAAUACAAAUAUAUCAUUUGAUCAAAAUAACAAAAUUAAAACCUGAUAAUUUACCAUAAGAGUGAAAAAUAAAAAUAAACAGCAUAUUGAUGAUACUAAAAUACAAUAUAAAAAAUCAUAGAAUAUUAAGAAGAGGUUGAUUAUAUGGGAUUUCAAAUUCAGACUUCCUUUAGCUCAAUAUUUUUUGAAUUGUUUUUUUUUUUAGUUUUCUUUUUUUAUAGCAGAUAUUCAACAACUUAAUUCUACUGUAUCCAAAACUUGGUAAGCCAUUAACUUGAUUUCUCAACAACAAACAUUCAUUUUCAUCCAGUAUCUAAGUUUAGUGAAUGGAAGCCAUGUGUAAAUGGAAGCCAUGUGUGGUACUUUUGGGUCAUCACCAAAAAUUCUUAAAGGAGAAUAUCAAGAACUUGGCAUUAUGAAAUGAUUUUUUAAAAGUUAAAACUUGAAUUCUUAAAUCUGUAUUUGCUCUAGCUAUAUUAAAAUGUGAGAGGUUAUGCAAAGUGCAAUUCCAAUAAAUUAUUUCACCUUGCAAAUACCAAUCAACAUGAAAUAUCAUUUGUUCUUGAUCUGUAUUUUAAAAAGUUUUUUCUGAUUUUGAUUGAAUAGCAGCUAUGGCUAUGAUAUAAAAAAAGAUGUUUGCACAAGCAUCUUCUUUGUGUGCACUAAGUUGCGCCUUUUACACUUCCAGGUUAUCAUAACUUAAAAUACAGCAUUUCUACGAAAACAGUUAGCAAUUUUCAGUUAUUCUCAUGAUUCUCAUAGGUUUUUCUGUCUAGAAUUAUAAUAAAUACAUUUAUGUUACUUUUGUAAAACAAGAAUGAUGUGAUCUAGUGAUCAUAGAUACCCCUGCUUGCAGAAUUGCUUUAUAUGGAAAUACAAAACCAAAAUUAAAAUUGAACAUGACUUUAUUUCAUAAAAUUAUAUCAGUCUUAAAUAAAAAUCAAAACUGUUCUUUCAUUAUUAUCUUGGAACAAAAAAAAUCUAUAUUUCAAGGAAACUAAAAGAAAUAUCUCUUGAAUUGUAUUUUAAGAUCCAUAGUGAUGUGUUCAAAAGAUUUGGUCAAGUGUUUUAACUGUUAUCAGGAAACCACAUAGAAAUACCACAUUUUUUCAGCUUAUUUAUGAGGUAUUACUCUCUAACAGUAAAUAUCAAAAAAAUUAAAAUCUAAGGGCAGAUGAAUAGACAUGGUCAAGAAAAUGUGACACUCGCUUACUAUAGAAUAAUAAAAACAGUUACUGAAUUGAUAUUUGCACAGCUGCUCUUUAUUCUCCUUUAUUUGCAUCCUAUCAUACAUCUUUGAAAUUAUUGAUAUUAUUAUACUUAUCAACUAAAUAUGCUCAUAUAAAUCCUAACAAUACUAACAAGUUGUUGUAUGAAUGUACAGUUAACAUUUAACAUUGAAUAGUGUCCAGAAUAAAGAGUCAAAUAACAAAAAUACCAGGAAAAUUCAAAUCAAAACGUCCUUAAUCAAAUGGCAAUAUCAAAAGAUCAAACACAUCAAACAAAUGGAAAACUACUAUAAUAUUCCUGACUUGGUACAGGUAUUUUCAUAUGUAGAAAAUGGAAGAUUAAAGCUAGGAGUAAUUUUUUUUCCCCAUCUCACAAUUUUUUUCAAGUCGAAGAAUUUUAAAAUGACACUCUAUAUGAAAAAUAUUUGUUUUUGAAAAUAAAUAUAAAAUGGAUAUGGGUUAAACAAUACACAAUGAUAUAUAUAACAAACAGAAAAUAUGUCAAAAAUGCCUUAUGUUUGAACAAAUAUGAUAGAGUGUAAAAAUGUCAAGCCAUGUUUAUACACAUACAUGUACAUGAUUUAACAAAUUUGAAAACCAUUGGAUGUGUUAUUUUAUCAUUUUCAACCACUUUUUCAAUUUUAGAGGUGUUUUUGUCUCCUACAGUCUUAAUUUAAAAAGAUAACUUAUAUAAAUUGUUGCUAUUUCAAUUUCUUUCCUGAAGUAUCAAUGGUCUAUUUGCAAAUUUGGUAAUUGAUUAUGUUUUUAGAGAUUUAUUUGUAGAAGUUAUUCUCCUCCAGAGGUGUACAUCAUCAUUGCAAAUAAAGAGCAAAAAGAAAAAGAAAAUUUAUCUGCGUGAAAUGUGUUCAAAUCUUACAAUUGAAUAUAAUCUAUUGAUAUUUAGAUUACUUAAAAGACCUACAUUUACUUUCAACUUAAUUUGAUUUGAAAGGGAAACAACUUGGUUUGUCCAGUAAAAAAUCUGUAUUCAAUUUAAUAUUAAGAUCAUCUGUUUAACUUUUUAAUGUAUAUUGAUGGGUUAAGAUGUUGUUAUGAAUAUGACCCCACAUGUUGUUCGGUUCCUGAUAUGAAUAUGCCUCAAACUGACUAGUUCUAAAAGUUCUGAGUAUUCUAUAAAGAAGUUUUUACAAAAGGAUUUGUUUAGUCCAACAACAUCAAUAAAAUAAAUUGAAUUUAUAUACCUCCCAGGAUAAUUAAAUAAAUCUAUUGGCUAAUAAAUGAUCAUGAGGUGUAACUAACUGGUCAAUUUCAAACCUGAAUACAGGAAAAAGUACAUGAGUUACAGCUGAGAAAGAGUUCAGCAAAUACAUCAAAAUAUAAUUAAGUUUAUACAAAUGUUAUAUACAGAGGGUCCUUACUGGUUAAAUUCCAGAAUCAGUAAAUCAUAUAAAUGAGCUUACAAUUAAAACUAUGAUAUAAAAACAUAUAUGUAAAAGGUUUGAUAGUGCUACUGUUGGGGCUAACAUAAUAAAUAACGGUUACUCAGUUAAACAAGUGUCAAUAAACUCAGAUUCAAUCCUCAAGCCUAAAGGCUAACUUAUAUAAUGCCUAUCAUCUUUAAAAUUCUCCUGGAUGUUUAGUUGAUAGUACAUUCCUCUUGUAGGCCUUUUUGACCAUGUGAUCUAAUAACAGCACAAAGUAAACUACAACUUUUAUAAAAUUUAAGUCAAUAAAUACAUUAACCUCUUAUAUUUUUAAAAAGAAACUAAAAUCUCUUAGGAAAAAAAACAUGCAAGCACUUAUAAAAAUAGCUUGAGCAUGACGUUACAUAUUUCAAUAUAAAAAAAUUACACAGUCAUUAAUGUCAAUACAUAUGACUACAUGUACAUACAUUUCAUUUGAU